Molecule: ribosomal RNA, 502 nt
Filed under: uncultured bacterium
Lineage: Bacteria
Description: partial 16S ribosomal RNA
Rfam family: Bacterial small subunit ribosomal RNA
Source: RNAcentral
AUUGAACGCUGGCGGCAGGCUUAACACAUGCAAGUCGAGCGGGGUGAUGGUGCUUGCACUAUCACUUAGCGGCGGACGGGUGAGUAAUGCUUAGGAAUCUGCCUAUUAGUGGGGGACAACAUCUCGAAAGGGAUGCUAAUACCGCAUACGUCCUACGGGAGAAAGCAGGGGAUCACUUGUGACCUCGCGCUAAAAGAUGAGCCUAUGUUGGAUUAGCUAGUUGGUAGGGUAAAGGCCUACCAAGGCAACGAUCCAUAGCUGGUCUGAGAGGAUGAUCAGCCACACUGGGACUGAGACACGGCCCAGACUCCUACGGGAGGCAGCAGUGGGGAAUAUUGGACAAUGGGCGCAAGCCUGAUCCAGCAACGCCGUGUGUGUGAAGAAGGCCUUCGGGUUGUAAAGCACUUUUAGUUGGGAAGAAAAGCUCAAGACUAAUACCCUUGAGUGAUGACGUUACCAACAGAAAAAGCACUGGCUAACUCUGUGCCAGCAGCCGCCGUAA